GAGGUUUACCUUCGAAUCUGCGGAUGGCUCAUUAAACCAGUGUUAAUCUAUCAGAUUAACAUAGACGGAUACCCCAGGCAAAUCUUGGACUAAUACGCGCAACAUAACAGCUCUGACUUUCAUGGAAGGAGUGUGCUUACAAGUCCAAAACCAUCGCUUGAAACUUGUUUCUUGCUUUGAAAUUGAAGAAAUGUAACUUCACUGAUCGUAGCUCGUCACUACGACAUGUCUGACAAGACACUGACCCAUCAACUUGAUAUUUGGCUAUAGCCCAGAUAUGGUUACAACGGGUAACGGGGAAUGAAGGUUCGAUUCCGGAGAGGCAGCCUGAGAAACGGCUACCGGUCCUAAGGGAGACAGCAGGCGCGAAAAUUACCCAAUGCUGACCUAGUGAGGUAGUGACGAUAAAUAACAAUCCGAGUAUUUUUAAUAUUUGGAAUUGGAAUGAGAAAACAUUAAAUCACUUAACGAAAUCAAUUGGAGGGCAAGUCUGGUGCCAGCAGCCGCGGUAAUUCCAGCUCCAAUAGCGUAUAUUUAAAUUGCUGCAGUUAAAACGCCCGUAGUCAAACUUCUUGGGGCAAGGUGGCAGAGUCAGUUCAACUGUCUAUAUGGCAAACUUCCACUCUUAUUAAACCCCCCAUACAGCAGUUAAGUCUUUUAGCUCCGGGAUGAUAAACACCGUCAACAACUCGGCAGUACCAUCUAACUAGCACCUCUCUAUUCAGUAGGUGUGGCUAUUAGACGUUUACCUUGAUUUAAUCAAAGCGUUCAAAGCAGGCAAUAACAGCCCGAAUGUAUAAGCAUGGAAUAAUAAAAGAUGACCUUUGGUCCUUUUGUUGGUUUUAAGACCAUCGGUAAUGAUGAAAGGAGUAGGUUCGGGGCAUUAGUAUUUACUCGCUAGAGGUGAAAUUCUUGGAUUGAGUAAAGACUAUCUACAGCGAAAGCAUUUGCCAGGGACCUACUUGUCGAUCAAGGACGAAAGUUGGGGGAUCGAAGAUGAUUAGAUACCGUCGUAGUCCCAACAGUAAAUGUUGCCAACUCUGAGUUGGUGAACUUACAUAAUCAUCAUCUCCCCCGAGAAAUCGCAAGU
This 1090-nucleotide ribosomal RNA is filed under the name Batkoa apiculata. Its description in RNAcentral is "SSU rRNA". It matches the Rfam family "Eukaryotic small subunit ribosomal RNA", at positions 69 to 1104 of the family's 1831-position model. Lineage: Eukaryota; Fungi; Entomophthoromycota; Entomophthoromycetes; Entomophthorales; Batkoaceae. The record is from RNAcentral.